RNAcentral lists this transfer RNA (63 nucleotides) under Hydraena nigrita. RNAcentral describes it as "tRNA-Val". Lineage: Eukaryota; Metazoa; Arthropoda; Insecta; Coleoptera; Hydraenidae. The record is from RNAcentral.
CAAAUUAGAGCUUUAAGCAUUUUAUUUACAUUAAAAAGAUAAUUAUAAUAUAAUUUAAUUUGA